RNAcentral lists this ribosomal RNA (492 nucleotides) under uncultured bacterium. RNAcentral's name for it is "partial 16S ribosomal RNA". It matches the Rfam family "Bacterial small subunit ribosomal RNA", at positions 29 to 507 of the family's 1533-position model. The record is from RNAcentral.
AGUGAACGCUGGCGGUAGGCCUAACACAUGCAAGUCGAACGGCAGCACAGUAAGAGCUUGCUCUUACGGGUGGCGAGUGGCGGACGGGUGAGGAAUACAUCGGAAUCUACUUUUUCGUGGGGGAUCACGUAGGGAAACUUACGCCAAUACCGCAUACGACCUACGGGUGAAAGCAGGGGAUCUUCGGACCUUGCGCGAUUGAAUGAGCCGAUGUGGGAUUAGCUAGUUGGCGGGGUAAAGGCCCACCAAGGCGACGAUCCGUAGCUGGUCUGAGAGGAUGAUCAGCCACACGGGAAGUGGGACACGGUCCAGACUCCUACGAGAGGCAGCAGAGGGGAAUAUUGGACAAUGGGCGCAAGCCUGAUCCAGCCAUACCGCGUGGGUGAAGAAGGCCUUCGGGUUGUAAAGCCCUUUUGUUGGGAAAGAAAAGCAGCAGGUUAAUACCCCGCUGUUCUGACGGUACCCAAAGAAUAAGCACCGGCUAACUUCGUG